Molecule: ribosomal RNA, 403 nt
Filed under: uncultured bacterium
Lineage: Bacteria
Description: partial 16S ribosomal RNA
Rfam family: Bacterial small subunit ribosomal RNA
Source: RNAcentral
GACGAACGCUGGCGGCGUGCCUAAUACAUGCAAGUCGAACGCAGUGGGGACGGGUGAGUAACACGUGGGUAACCUCCCAUCAGAGGGGAUAACACUUGGAAACAGGUGCUAAACCGAUACUGAUGGAUGGACCCGCGGUGCAUUAGCAAGUUGGUGAGGUAACGGCUCACCAAGGCCACGAUGCAUCGGCGGCCAGGGAGGUGGUGAGGCCACACUUGAAGUGAUACGCGGCCGAUACUCCUACGGGAGGCAGCAGUAGGGAAUGUUCGGCAAUGGACGAAAGUCGGACCGAGCAACGCCGCGUGAGUGAAGAAGGUUUGCGUGUCGUAAAACUAGGUUGUGAGGGAAGCGGUAUCUAACCAGAAAGCCACGGCUAACUACGUGCCAGCAGCCGCGGUAAUUC